RNAcentral lists this RNase P RNA (396 nucleotides) under Candidatus Peribacteria bacterium. Its description in RNAcentral is "RNase P RNA component class A". It matches the Rfam family "Bacterial RNase P class A". Rfam says of the family: Ribonuclease P (RNase P) is a ubiquitous endoribonuclease, found in archaea, bacteria and eukarya as well as chloroplasts and mitochondria. Its best characterised activity is the generation of mature 5'-ends of tRNAs by cleaving the 5'-leader elements of precursor-tRNAs. The record is from RNAcentral. Lineage: Bacteria; Candidatus Peregrinibacteriota; Candidatus Peribacteria.
UGUGAGAGGUAGGUAUCUACUUGUAAAAUAUUUACAAGAGGAAAGUCUGGACAUCACGAGAGAAACAUAAAAGCUAACAGCUUUGGUUUUGGAAAUAAUUCAUAAAUCCAAAACACAAACAGUGCCACAGAGACAAUACUAGCUUCGGCUAAAGGUGAAAAGUCAUUUGGUGUUCUAUUUUUAAACUAUUUUUCUUAGAAAAACGUGUAAAAGUAAAGCUACAGAUGAGUUUGGCAACAAACUGGUAAACUUUAUGUGAUGCAAUGGGAAUGGUAUUUUUAGGGAUUAUCUCUCUAUUGUCCCGAAAAAAUAUACUCAGCUUGAGUUUUGAAGUAAUUCAAAACCUAGAUAGAUUGAUACUUAAGUACAGAAUCCGGCUUAUUACUCUCACAAAAA